Molecule: ribosomal RNA, 506 nt
Filed under: uncultured bacterium
Lineage: Bacteria
Description: partial 16S ribosomal RNA
Rfam family: Bacterial small subunit ribosomal RNA
Source: RNAcentral
AGUGAACGCUGGCGGUAGGCCUAACACAUGCAAGUCGAACGGCAGCACAGGAGAGCUUGCUCUCUGGGUGGCGAGUGGCGGACGGGUGAGGAAUACAUCGGAAUCUACUCUGUCGUGGGGGAUAACGUAGGGAAACUUACGCUAAUACCGCAUACGACCUACGGGUGAAAGCAGGGGACCUUCGGGCCUUGCGCGAUUGAAUGAGCCGAUGUCGGAUUAGCUAGUUGGCGGGGUAAAGGCCCACCAAGGCGACGAUCCGUAGCUGGUCUGAGAGGAUGAUCAGCCGCACUGGAACGGAGACACGGUCCGGACUCCUACGGGAGGCAGCAGUGGGGAAUAUUGGACAAUGGGCGCAAGCCUGAUCCAGCCAUACCGCGUGGGUGAAGAAGGCCUUCGGGUUGUAAAGCCCUUUUGUUGGGAAAGGAAUCCAGCUGGCUAAUACCCGGUUGGGAUGACGGUACCCAAAGAAUAAGCACCGGCUAACUUCGUGCCAGCCGCCGCCGUAA